Molecule: long non-coding RNA, 3896 nt
Filed under: Sus scrofa (pig)
Lineage: Eukaryota; Metazoa; Chordata; Mammalia; Artiodactyla; Suidae
Description: lncRNA (ENSSSCG00005012737.1)
Source: RNAcentral
AUAUAUUCUUUUUCAUAUUAUUUUCCGCUACGGUUUAUUACAGGAUAUUGAGUAUAGUUCCCUGUGCUAUACAGUAGGACUCUGUUGUGUAUCCAAGUUAUAUAUUAUCUCAAACUCCUAAUAUCUCCCUCCCUCAUCCCCUUUCCCCUUUGGUUACUGUAAGUUUGUUUCCUGUCUGUGAAUUUGUUUCCGUUUGGUAAACAGGUUCAUUUGUGUCAUAUUUUAGAUCCUACAAAUAAGUGAUAUCAAUAGUAUUUGUCUUUCUCUUUCUGACUUACUCCACUUAGUAUGAUAAUGUCUAGGUCCACUCAUGUUGCUGCAAAUAUAUUAUGUGAUAUAUACAGAUAUAUUACAUCUUCUCUGUCCAGUCCCCUGUUGGUGGACAUGGAGGUUGCUUCCAUGUCUUGGCUAUUGUAAAUAGUGCUGCAGUGAACAUUGAGAUGCAUGUAUCAUUUCAAAUUAGCAUUUUCUGGAUAUAUGUCCAGGAGUGGGAUUGCUAGAUCCUAUGGCAAUGUUAUUUUUAGUGUUUUAAGGAACCCUCCGUCCUGUUCUCUAUAGUGGCCACACCAAUUUACAUUCCUGCCAGCAGUGUAGAAGGAUUGCCUUUUCUCCCCACCCUCUCCAGCAUUUGUUUGUAGACUUUUUAAUGACGUUAAGGAGAAUUUCUUUGGCUUGACCUCUCCAUCUUUCCCCUCCUCUAUCGCUGCACCUCUCAAGGCACUCAAGGCCCAACUUACCCCAGACUUCCUCCCUCCCGGAAGGGUCUCCUGACCUCUCCAGCCUCAUAGCCUGCUCGCACUGACCUCCAACCAGCCUGCUGCAAAGCUCUAGGCUCACAUUUAGGGCGUUCCUGCCUCCUGUCAGUCACCGAGGCUGGUAAGUGCUCCCACAUGCCCACUCCCUGAAAGACAGACGAGGCAACCCCAUUGAAAGGGAAGACACAGGCUCAGCGAGGUUCCGUAACGUCCCCCAGAUUACCUAGCUGGUUAGUGAAAUAACCGAGACUUAAAUUCAAGACUGACAACCGACCUCAAAACCUUUGCUCUAAACCAGGAGCCAGCAAACUAUAUGGGCCUGAAGGCCAAAUUCUGCCCACUAUCUGUUUUUCUACAGCUUGAGAGCUAAAAAUGGUUUUCACAUGACCGGGGGCGGGGGGGGAUCAAAAGAAACAUAAGAUUUUGGCACAUGUGAAAAUCACAGGAAACUAACAUUUCAGUGUCCAUUAAUAACGUUUUAUUGGACAUGGUGGUGUGGUGGUUGUUUUCAUCAUGGCAUGCAGCAGCUUGAUGUGGGAUCUCAGUUCCCAGACCAGGGAUUGAACCCAGGCUGCAGCGGUAAAAGCACUGAGUCCUAACCACUAGACCACCAGGGAACUCCCUUAAUAAAGUUUUCUUGGCGCACACCAACACCCAUUCAUUUAGAUCUCUUUGAUGGCUUUUUCGUGAACUACAGUGGCAGAGCUGAGUCGUAGUGACAGGGACCAGCCUACAAGGGUUCCCAUUUGGCCCUUCACAGAAGACCUUUGCCGACCCCUGCUCCGAAAGGCACCAUUGAUGAGCCACAGCUCCACGGAGUUCUGAACACCCUGCCUGCCUUGACAGGCUGCUGUCUUUCUCUGGGUGCUGAGCCCACUGUAGGAUCUCAGAGGGAAAACAAAAUAGAUUUUAGCCCCCUUUGGACUUCCAGGUACUAAAGAUGUGCACCAGAAGUUCCCGUCGUGGCACAGCGGAAACGACCCCGACUAGGAACCGUGAGGUUGUGGGUUCGAUCCCUGGCCUUGUUCAGUGGGUUAAGGAUCCAGCGUUGCGGUGAGCUGUGGUUGUAGGUCACAGGCGCAGCUCAGAUCCUGCAUUGCUGUGGCUGUGGCAUAGGCUGGCAGCUGCAGCUCCGAUUGGACCCCUAGCCUGGGAACCUCCAUAUGUCACUGGUGCAGCCUUAAAAAGACAAAAGACAAAAAAAAAAAAAAAAAAAGAUUUGCCCCAGAUGGGACUGAAGUUUCAACACCUGAGAAGGACGAAAAAAUUCUAAACCAACCCCUCCUGGCGUCCCCCAGGCUGAGCCAGGCUGUUCACCCAGGGGGGGCAGUGGGAGACCUUUGUCCAGACAGGCUCUGACUCAUCUGGAGUGCGCUCUGCCUCUUGUUUGGUUUUCAAGGAACCAGCUUCAAGGAAAGAAGCAGAAGAAUUGGGUCUUAUCCAGAAGAAUAAGACUGAGAGCUGUCCUGGCGACUAAGUGGGAUCUAGAAAGAAAGCGCUGAGCCUGAAUGAAGGCUGGCACGUAGUAGGUGCUUGAUGACCUGCAGCUUUUGUGAGGAGGAGGAGGAAGAGGAGGUGGAGGGAAAAUGGGGAAUUCUGGAAGCUCCAGGCUUUUGCUUGCCUGAAUGGGGCUUUUGUGUGACAGAAAAAGGCUCCCCUUCCUCCAGCGCCCACCAGGACACCCUUGGGGAGUGGAGUGGGAACUCUUAGCCCCAACUCCCACCCCCAGGGUCGGGUGCUUUUGCGCAGUGCAUGCACCUCACAGCUUCACAGCUGCAGGUGGCAGCCCCGCUGGACCUGAGAGGAGGGAGGGAGACGCUGAGUGGGGUUUCCUGAGUUUCCCCCUCUAACUCUGCAGCCAUCGCAGGCCAGUCCACAAACCUUCCUGCACUUCAGUUUCCUCGUCUGUAUAAUGGGGAUGCUUGUCUCCCUCUGGCAGUUCUGAGGAUGAAAUGAGGGAGCAGAUGUGGAAAUCAGGGGGGAAGGGGUUUUUUGUGCUUUUUGCCUUUUUAGGGCCACACCCGUGGCAUAUGGAGUUUCCCAGGCGAGGGAGUCAAAUCGGAGCUACAGCUGCCAGCCUACACCACAGCACAGCAAUGCAGGAUCCAAGCCAUGCCUACGACCUACAACACAGCUCACGGCAACACUGGAUCCUUAACCCACUGAGUGAGGCCAGGGAUCGAACCUGCAACCUCAUGGUUCCCAGUCAGAUUCUCUCCGCUGAGCCACGACGGGUUUUGAUGUUAACCAAACGACCAAAUGGAAGCCUGCCAUUCAGGGUCGUCCAGAAGCUGCUAUUUACAGAAAGGGCUUUGUUGUUCACUUUUUAGAAAUGAUAUGCUAUAGAGGGUUUAGCAAGCAGAGAGUUAUGUUGUCCAUAACUUAUUAUGGCUAAUGUUACUUGUACACUAAUCUUGCCUUUUUUUGUUGAGGGGAAGUGGGAGAGGAGAGGCCGAGAGGAGGAGAAAUACUCGAAGUGCUACAGCAGUAGUUUUCAGACUUCGCCUCCCGGGUCAGGGUUGGGGCCUGAGAAUCUGCAUUUCGCACAGAGUCCCAGGCGGCACCCCUCUGAGGACUCCUCCACUCUGUCAAAAGGCCUAGAAGACCGCUGGGCAGCUAUAGGAGGCGGGCCAGGGCUUCCUUGCCUGAGGGGGGGGCAGGGGGAGCACGGAAAGUUCUUACUGUCCCAGCAGACCCGUUUCUUGAAGGAAGGGACAGGCUCCCAGGACCCCAGGGAUCAGCCUGGUUGGCCCCAGACCCAGAAUGUAUGGGGGUGAAGGCCUAGUCAAAGGCUCCCCCCACCCCACCCCCCUCAGAGAGGGGACUGAGGCUGGAAAGGCGGGGAAGGGCUGGGUUUCCCCAGAUCAAAGCUGGUUCCCCAGCCUUUGAUUCGCAAACAAGCAGACUCUUUAGAGGCUGGCCCGGAGUUUGGGGCAGGCUGGCCUUGGGGCCUGGGGUGAGUGGUCAGAGGCCCCCAGCCCGCUCUCUUUUUGCAUAACAGCUUGGCUGUCUAACAAAAGGACAGUCCUUGAAAGGCCGUAUGGGGCUGUUAAAAGCUUCCGGCAAUGGUUUAAUUGGGGGCGAUUAAAGUGUCCACCCCAGGAAGGCCUGCCCUUCAAAGGCCAACCAGGCCUGGCUCCC